UACGUAGGCAGCGAGCGUUGUUCGGAGUUACUGGGCGUAAAGCGUGCGUAGGCGGUGUCUUAAGUUUGUUGUGAAAUUUCCCGGCUUAACCGGGAGGGUGCGGCGAAUACUGAGAUGCUGGAGUGCCGGAGAGGUAAGCGGAAUUCCUGGUCUAGCGGUGAAAUGCGUAGAUAUCAGGAGGAACACCUGCGGUGUAGACGGCUUACUGGACGGUAACUGACGCUGAGGCACGAAAGCGUGGGGAGCAAACAGG
This 253-nucleotide ribosomal RNA is filed under the name uncultured bacterium. Its description in RNAcentral is "partial 16S ribosomal RNA". It matches the Rfam family "Bacterial small subunit ribosomal RNA", at positions 524 to 776 of the family's 1533-position model. The record is from RNAcentral.